CCUACGGGAGGCUGCAGUGAGGAAUAUUGGUCAAUGGCCGCAAGGCUGAACCAGCCAAGUCGCGUGAGGGAUGACGGUCCUCUGGAUUGUAAACCUCUUUUGUCAGGGAGCAAAGGGCGCCACGUGUGGCGUUUUGCGAGUACCUGAAGAAAAAGCAUCGGCUAACUCCGUGCCAGCAGCCGCGGUAAUACGGGGGAUGCGAGCGUUAUCCGGAUUUAUGGGGUUUAAAGGGUGCGCAGGCGGAAUGUCAAGUCAGCGGUAAAAUUUCGGGGCUCAACCCCGUCGUGCCGUGGAAACUGGCGGUCUUGAGUGCGCGAGAAGUAUGCGGAAUGCGUGGUGUAGCGGUGAAAUGCAUAGAUAUGACGAAGAACUCCGAUUGCGAAGGCAGCAUACCGGCGCUCAACUGACGCUGAGGCACGAAAGCGUGGGUAGCGAACAGGAUUAGAUACCCGGGUAGUC
RNAcentral lists this ribosomal RNA (459 nucleotides) under uncultured bacterium. RNAcentral describes it as "partial 16S ribosomal RNA". It matches the Rfam family "Bacterial small subunit ribosomal RNA", at positions 338 to 795 of the family's 1533-position model. The record is from RNAcentral.